GGUUGUGUAGUGUAGCGGUUAUCACUCCAGAUUUUGAGACAUCCCCAAUGUUCUGGUAACCCCGGUUCGAACCCGGGCACGACCU
Molecule: non-coding RNA, 85 nt
Organism: Chaetomidium leptoderma
Lineage: Eukaryota; Fungi; Ascomycota; Sordariomycetes; Sordariales; Chaetomiaceae
Source: the annotation of a GenBank genome assembly